GGCUCAAUGGUCUAGUGGUAUGAUUCGCGCUUCGGGUGAUGGAUCCAGGCUUCUUCCUGGCAUCCGCCCAUUACUUGGACAGCACAAGUAAAACUGCAAUGUGCGAGGUCUCGGGUUCGAAUCCCGAUUGAGCCC
This is a non-coding RNA of Rhypophila decipiens, 135 nucleotides long. NCBI's taxonomy places the organism in Eukaryota, Fungi, Ascomycota, Sordariomycetes, Sordariales, Naviculisporaceae. The record is from the annotation of a GenBank genome assembly.